RNAcentral lists this ribosomal RNA (451 nucleotides) under uncultured bacterium. RNAcentral describes it as "partial 16S ribosomal RNA". It matches the Rfam family "Bacterial small subunit ribosomal RNA", at positions 29 to 523 of the family's 1533-position model. The record is from RNAcentral.
AACGAACGCUGGCGGCAGGCUUAACACAUGCAAGUCGAACGGGUGCAGCAAUGCAUCAGUGGCAGACGGGUGAGUAACACGUGGGAACCUUCCUAGAGGUACGGAACAACUCAGGGAAACUUGAGCUAAUACCGUAUACGCUCUUGCGAGGAAAGAUUUAUCGCCUUUAGACGGGCCCGCGUCGGAUUAGGUAGUUGGUGGGGUAACGGCCUACCAAGCCUACGAUCCGUAGCUGAUCUGAGAGGAUGAUCAGCCACACUGGGACUGAGACACGGCCCAGACUCCUACGGGAGGCAGCAGUGGGGAAUCUUGGACAAUGGGCGCAAGCCUGAUCCAGCCAUGCCGCGUGAGUGAAGAAGGCCUUCGGGUUGUAAAGCUCUUUUGUCAGGGACGAUAAUGACGGUACCUGAAGAAUAAGCCCCGGUAAACUUCGUGCCAGCCGCCGCGGUAA